This 497-nucleotide ribosomal RNA is filed under the name uncultured bacterium. RNAcentral's name for it is "partial 16S ribosomal RNA". It matches the Rfam family "Bacterial small subunit ribosomal RNA", at positions 28 to 507 of the family's 1533-position model. The record is from RNAcentral.
GACGAACGCUGGCGGCGUGCCUAAUACAUGCAAGUUGAGCGCUGAAGGUUGGUACUUGUACCAACUGGAUGAGCAGCGAACGGGUGAGUAACGCGUGGGGAAUCUGCCUUUGAGCGGGGGACAACAUUUGGAAACGAAUGCUAAUACCGCAUAAAAACUUUAAACACAAGGUUUAAGUUUGAAAGAUGCAAUUGCAUCACUCAAAGAUGAUCCCGCGUUGUAUUAGCUAGUUGGUGAGGUAAAGGCUCACCAAGGCGAUGAUACAUAGCCGACCUGAGAGGGUGAUCGGCCACAUUGGGACUGAGACACGGCCCAAACUCCUACGGGAGGCAGCAGUAGGGAAUCUUCGGCAAUGGACGAAAGUCUGACCGAGCAACGCCGCGUGAGUGAAGAAGGGUUUCGGAUCGUAAAACUCUGUUGGUAGAGAAGAACGUUGGUGAGAGUGGAAAGCUCAUCAAGUGACGGUAACUACCCAGAAAGGGACGGCUAACUACGUG